This 195-nucleotide unclassified non-coding RNA is filed under the name plant metagenome. RNAcentral's name for it is "partial contains small subunit ribosomal RNA, internal transcribed spacer 1, and 5.8S ribosomal RNA". The record is from RNAcentral.
UCUCCGUUGGUGAACCAGCGGAGGGAGCAUUACCGAGUUUACAACUCCCAAACCCCUGUGAACAUACCAUUUGUUGCCUCGGCGGUGCCUGCUUCGGCAGCCCGCCAGAGGACCCAAACCCUUGAUUUUAUACAGUAUCUUCUGAGUAAAUGAUUAAAUAAAUCAAAACUUUCAACAACGGAUCUCUUGGUUCUG